AAAGAGUGAGAAUCCCGAGUGAAUCGCCGGAAAUUUCGGGAGGCAGUUCUCCGUUAAAACGGUUAUUGGCCAACUCGAUUAUCGUGACGGAAGGUAGCUUGAAAAUCCCUGACGGAACUGCGCCGUUAAGGUAGUUAUUGGAGGCUCGGAUCUUGGUUAGAGACUUGCAGUUAGCAAUCUCGUUAGGGAUUGGACCAUGGAAGAAGUUAUCUGUGAUCAAGAACGUUUGUAACCUCCCACUCUUGCACAAAUCCCGAGGGAUCAACCCGCUGAAGUGAUUCUUCGUGACGUCGAAGAACUUGAACUUCCCGUUUUGCCCCAGGUUCUGCGGGAGCUCAGAGGAGAAAUUGUUCUCCCAGAGCUGCAGCGUUUCCAGAUUAGGAAGCUCGCCGACGAAGGAGGGAACUGAGCCUCGGAGAUUGUUGUGGAAGAAGUUCAUCAGAGUGAGGUUUUUCAGCUGAGAGAAGCGCGUCGGUAUCUCCCCGGUGAGGCCGUUGAAGGAGAGAUCCAGUGACAUGAGGCUCACCAUGUCGGAGAGCUCAGACGGAAUGGUUCCGGUGAGGUUAUUCAUUUGCAAGAACAACGUGUCGAGGUUUCUCAUAUUUGCUAGACUCGGUGGAAUCUCGCCGCUGAGGUUGCAGCUUGAGAGGUCAAGGUAUUUCAGAGAUUCCAUGGUGCCGAACUCCGGUGGAAUUCCGCCUUCGUAAGCGUUGUUGUAUCCGAGCUUGAGAAUCCUCAGCGUCUUCAACUUAGACAAACUCUUCGGAAUAUUCCCCGAUAAGCUAUUGGUGCUUAAGCUUAAAAACUCCAAGCUCUUAAACUCCGAGUAACUCUCCGGUAUGCUUCCGGAGAAAUAGUUUCCGUCGAGCUUCAGGUAUUUCAAUUUCUCCAGUUUCACGAACUCUUCCGGAAGCGAUCCGGUGAAGUUGUUGUCGUAGACGUCGAGGACCUCGAGUUCGGUCAUCGGAAGAAUUAUUUUGCCGGGAAAAUAGCCGGAGAAGACGUUGUGAGAGAUGUUGAGGUGCUUGAGGGAAGUGAGGGCGGCGAGCUCCUUGGGAAGUUCGCCGGUGAGGUUGUUCUGCGAGAUGGUGAGGUUUUCAAGUUUGUCCAAUUCUCCGAUCUCCGGCGGAACGUGGCCGAAGAGAGGAACAAAGGAGACGUUGAUAGCAACAACUCGAAGUUCUUGGUCGCAAGAUACACCUGAAAAGAAACAGUGUGCAGAAAGCGACGUGGAAAACUUCCAGUCAUGGAGCGCGUCGUCUUUGGCUCUGUCUCCCUUCAUGGACUCCUUCAGCUUCAGCAGCGCAUCCAUGUCACUGAACGAAGAACACGUUGCCACGUGUAGCCAUAUGAAGAAAACAAACAAUAAAAGCGUGUAACACACACAGCUUCUCAUGUCUCUCUGGUUUUGCUUCGCAGUAGUAGUACUCACUCUCUCAUAUACUUACGCCAAAUGCAUACAUAAUGUACAACACCACACACCACAUGCUGCCUCUAUUUAUAUACACCGUUACGUAUUCAAUAGCAUAUGUGUAUGUACAACACUGUAUCAUAUGGUUGCAUGCAAUACUAAUUCUGUUUGUAUGAAAUGGGAAAAGUUGUUCAAAGUGGAAAAAAAAAGAACAAUGUUCAUCAGUAGCUAGCCACACGAGAUCCACUAUCAGUUUGUGACACACGAAGUGUAAUUAUGUUUCUAGAAAAUUAUAUGCCAGUAUAAAUUUCUAAUACGGAUUAGUUAUAUUGAUUCUAGUGGGGGAAGAGGUCCUACAAGCAAUUAGUUUAGAGGAGAAAUUUUUAUGCAAGCGUUGUCUAUCACAAAUCUUUUAUUCAGUAACUAGUGUGUGUGUAUAAAGCUAAUUAUUCUUGGUAUAUAUAUUUUUAAAUAUGACUGAAAUAUUCUUAAAUUUUUAUUAAUAAAGUAUGUAUUGUAGAAAUUUGGAUCAUGCACUUUACUAAAUUGUUUGAUGACGAUGGAACUUAUUAUACGAUUGGAUAACAUUUGGUGGCUGUUAAGUCUACUCGAACGUGGAGUUAGCUUUUGUGAAGAGAAAGAUGCAAUCGAUCCCUGUGACCAUUCUAUAUGGAGGUUUAAACUUUCCAUGAGCCAGACUUUGUACUGAAACAAAAGUGGUUUUUCGUGAUUCACCAAAUUAAAAAAAGGAAUAAACUAAAGAAACUUUCUUUACGUGGAAGGAAGUCUUCUUAGCUACUGUGCUUUGUGCUUGGGUACAUCACUGGGAUAAUUAUUGCCCAUGUAAAAGCAAAAGCAUCAAUUCUCCGUUUUAAGUUGUUCUGUCAACGAUCAAGCUCUAGAUAUUGCAGAAUCGUAUUCUAUGAGUGACAAUUAAAGGGUAUUAUGCAUAAAUAAAAUUUUAAAGCAAAUUAUUCAUCGCAAGUGGUUCUGUUCCAAACAUUUCCAAGUUAAAUUGUAAAUUACUACCAUUUUGGUAUUUUGAAAGGAGAAUGAAGAAAAACGAGACGAUAUAUAUGGGACAGAAGUUAUCAGGUGGGUUCAUGUAACUUAUUCUCCUUUUAAUUUGCAUAUAAAAACUAUAUAUAUUUUGAUAGAUUAAGACAAAUGAGUUAUCUAAAUUAUCUUUAUUUUUAGUUUUAACUAUAAAGUUAAUGUUCUUAAUUUUUUUAAUUAAAAUAUAUUUCCUUUUAUCUUAAGUACAUAAUUUUUUUUUAUCUUACAUAUAAACAAAUUUUAAUAAAUUUUAUGUUAAUAUCUCUAAAAUAUUCUUUAUUUAAUAAAAACUUUAGUUUUAAUGACUUUUUAUUAUUAUCAAGUUUCAAUGAAAAAUAAGUUAAAAAAAUAAUUUUUAAUUAAAAUUAAUAGAAUUAAAUAUAAUUAAAUAAAUUUUUUAAUUAUUUUUUUUAUAUUUGAGAUCGGAUGGAGCAGUGAUUUGUGCCACUGGAAGGAGAAUGUAUUUAAGAGUUUCUCUACACUUAGGAAUAUUGGGAAGAAAUUUCUUUUCUUUUUUCCUUUUUUUUAUUUAAGGCCUAAAAAAGUGUUGCAAGGUCAAUAUAUUCUCACACAAAUACACAAUGAUGCUUCAAGAAUGGAUUCAUGCCCGUGCGUUCAACAAUUCUUUCAUAGUUUUGGGAAUAGGGAGCCACUGAUAUAUGGAUGAGUGGUACAUGCUUCUCAAAAAGUGUUCUAUAUUGUCGUUUGUCAACUCCAGUGAUGAUAGCGACUGCAAAUUAGUGUCCGUGAAGUGCCCGUCUUUUACACGGCAGACAGUUUUUAUUCUCUAAAGCCUAAUCAAAUUCUAUGUUUCAUUUUUUACUCAUAAUAUGAAGUUUUUAUUUUAGUCUUGUUUUGAAAAAAAUAUUUUAGUCUUUUAAAGUUUUUUCUUUAAUUAUUAUUGUCAAAUAAUAGCGUGUGAUUAUGUAAUAAUGAUGUUGACAAUAUAUUAAUUCGUCACAUUAUUAAAAAAAAUUGAUGCAACAAUCAUAUGUAAAACUUUUUAGUUGAUGAGAGAUUUAAUAUUUUUGAUAAAUUGUGUUUUUAGUUGUAUAGGUUGACAUGGUGGAAACACAUCUGAAUUGUGGAUCAUGUUUUAUCCCUUGCAUAUCCUGAACACUGUGAUUAGACUAAUUAACAUGCAUGAUUCAUAUUGUUAAAAUUUGAAAUCAUGUAUGUCGGAGCAGAUUGUAGACUGCUGUGCAUGAACGUCCAGGAAGGUGAGGCUUGGGGUCUAAAAGCGAUUAAUUUUUCUGCUGAAAUGGGAUUGCAGAAUAUAAUAUAUCUUUGAAGUUGACAACAAAGGAGUGGUAGACAAACGAAAGAAGACAGUAGUAGAUCAUUCUGAAUUGGGAUCUAUCAUCGAUGAUUGAAGGAGUUUGUUAGUACAUAAUCCUACUUUUUGUAUUAGCGUUGUAGAGAAGUCAAUGGUAUUGACGUAUUGUCUUGAGUUACUAAUUAAGGGUCACUUCAUGUUAUAUUAAUCUUUAUAUUAAAUUAUAAACUAUGUUAAUUCCAAAACAAAAAAAUAAGUUUUUUCUUCUAAAUUAUCUUUCAUUUGAAACUUGAUAGAAAGUCUUUGGUCAUAUUAAAUGAAAAACAAUUUUAGGAUAAUCUCAUUAAAAAUUAAGGAUAAAUCCAAUCAAUUUUUGCUUAUGUAGGAGACUAAAAAUUAUGAUUUUUGUUUGCUUAUAAAAGAUAUCAGAGAUAAUAUAUGCUUUAUUUUAUUUUAUAAAUAAAUAAAUUGGGGAGAUGGUUUUUUGGGCUUUGAAAAUAAAAGGGAUUUUAUAAUUAAAGUGUUUAAUUAUUAAAACUUUUAAGAAUGUGUAGACCCUUGUGUUGAACUUUUGUCCUUGUAAACUCAACUUAUCCUAAUGGUUGCUCUAAGUAUCCCAACCUGACUCUUUUCCUUUUUGUCAUCCUUGCUCAUUUGGAGAAUGAGUUGUGAGACUUGAUUUAACUAAGUGUGUGUGUGAUAACUCAUCACAUCCAACUUGAUCCACGUCUGAGAGAAGCUAUCAUUUGUUGCUUUGGCGUAUUUUCAUUCUUUUUAUGUGACUUUUAAUGUUAACGCGUGUAUAAGGCGUGAAAACAAACACCAUCUAAGGAGUUAGGGAUUGUAGGAAUCACAUUGCGUUGUCUAUAUUCCCGUGUCGUGGAAAUUUUAUUUCAAGGUAAGAAUGAGUAAGACUAUUUGGCUCGUGGAUGUGGCUUUGGUGGUUGUUAGUGGGUUGACAUGUUGCAUUUUAUUCCACAUUUUGUAUAUUUGUUUAUGUAAGUUUUGAUUCAUUUUGUGUUAAUUAGGAUUAGUUGCAUGUUUAUUUUGUUUAAUUGUCUAAUAUGAUCCUCAAUAGGGUCAUAAUGUUUUUAUGAAUUGUUUUUGAGGGAUCCAACAUUAAAAUUAGGUUUAGCCAUUAAUUUUAUUUGAAGGGAUGCACUAGUUGUUUCUUAUAAAUAACCUUAUACUCUCUUGCUUUUGGGAUAUCAUUCAAUAAGAUUAGAAUUUCACUUGUUUUGUGAGUUUAAGAGUUGUGUCUCUUGUGAGUUCUUAGAUUGAACAUUUCUUGAUUCUUAUCAAAGAUUUUCAUAUCUUUGUGGUGAAUCGUUACUGAACUUAUCACUCUCUAUAGAAUAUGACAUCUUUCCCUACUCUUUUCCAUCGUUUUAUUUUUAUUUUUAAAUACUUAUUCUUAAUUCCUCAUGCUUAAUAUUUUACAGUUUUUGUUCUUGCACAACUUUCCUCUAUUCCUUUGUUUAUGUGUGUCAUUCCCAUAAAGCUUCAAGCUUUCUUUGAUUGAAUGUGCCAUUGUUACAAAAAUUAAGGAAAUUGUUUUAAAAAUUCUUAUUUUUCAUUCCUCUUUAAUUCAAUCUAUUAAAUACAAAUCCACUCAAGAACGAUCUAUGGAAACAAUAUAUCAUAUAAUUUUCAUAACCUAGAAAUUUUUGAGGUUUGUCUUUUUUUUUUGUCCUUAGAAAGGUGGAUUAGUUAAGGAGAUUGCAAUGGAUACUUGAGGUGAGGUUCAAUACUUAGAGUGAUUUUGAUCUAGAGUACAUGAUGUAUGUGUAGACAUCGAAACGACAUGACAUUGGUGCCUAAAUUAUAAGGUCAAAAUUAUCUAUAACUUUUGUGAAGAUACCAAGUCGAGAAUUUUGCAUCCUAAAUGUGAUUUUGGCUAUGCAAGCGACACACUUUGUUUCCUAUUUGUUUACUUUGUGCUUUAAUUGUAAUGGCCUUGUCCCUUUUAGGUUUAUAGAUUUAAAUAGAUCUUUUAGAAUUUGUUUUGACAAGUUCCCUAGUGGGGAAAACCUUGGAGAUCAAGGAGUGUUGGCACAAGGAUUGGAAUGAAAGAUGAUUCAUCUUUUCUCUACUUUCUUGAUUUGGAUUUUCUUAUCUUAUAUCUUGAUUUUGUUCUUUAUAUUUAAGUGUUUUCUAAAUUUUUCUUAGGAGCAUAGCCAUUGACUAUUAUUUAUAAUAAUCUAGUUAUUUUGAGGUUCUCUUAAAAGGUGAGGGGAGAAGAAAUAACUAAAUUUGUAAUUAGCUAGGUUUGACCCCAAAUGAAAAUGAGAUUAAUUAACCCAUGUUCAAUUACCAAUAGAAAUCAUAUACUUGUCCUAUUGUAAAAUAAGAUAAAUGCCUGAUUUUUAUUCGUCAUUUUAAUCCCAUUUUCAGCUAGACAAACUCAUAUUCAUAUUAUAAAAUAUUUUUCAUUACAUUGCUAAUUAUACAAGCAAUUUAUAAAUUACUAUAAUUGUACAUACUAUAUUUACAAAUGUUAAAAUGUUGAUAGGGGCAGCUGCCCCCACAAUGCUUAAAGUGCAUCCGUGAAUGGAACAGAGGUUAGGGUUCCCUGCAAACGAGUUGUCGUUGAAGACCAAAAACUGACCCUCGUUGGGGACCUUGCCUGUGAAAUUGUUGUAGGAGAGAUCCAGCGUGGUGAGGCUCGUCAUGAAUUUUAUCUCGUCAGGGACUGGCCCUGUUAAAUGGUUUCUCGAGACAUUGAAAAAGCUCAAGACCGUGAGGUUCUUAAUCCCCUUAGGAAUAUCCUCAACUAGCAUGUUCCGGCUGAGAUCAACGGCGGCGAGUGAAACGCAGCGAGUAAACGUCGUUGGGAUUGGUCCGGUGAGAUUGUUGCCGCUUAUGUUGACCACAGUCAGCAUUGGUAGGUCAAAAACCUCCCCCGGGAUUUCUCCAAGGAACUCGUUCGUGUCAAGUGACAGAGUCUGCAGUGCCCUUAAGUUCUUCAACGCUGGGGGAAUUUUCCCAGUGAAUAAGUUGUUGGAAAGAGUGAGAAUCCCGAGUGAAUCGCCGGAAAUUUCGGGAGGCAGUUCUCCGUUAAAACGGUUAUUGGCCAACUCGAUUAUCGUGACGGAAGGUAGCUUGAAAAUCCCCGACGGAACUGCGCCGUUAAGGUAGUUAUUGGAGGCUCGGAUCUUGGUUAGAGACUUGCAGUUAGCAAUCUCGUUAGGGAUUGGGCCAUGAAAGAAGUUAUCUGUGAUAAUGA
Molecule: long non-coding RNA, 6969 nt
Filed under: Glycine max (soybean)
Lineage: Eukaryota; Viridiplantae; Streptophyta; Magnoliopsida; Fabales; Fabaceae
Description: long non-coding RNA (GMAX_LNC002435)
Source: RNAcentral